Long non-coding RNA from Prunus dulcis (almond), 1409 nucleotides. RefSeq lists it as uncharacterized. The record is from RefSeq and is a predicted model, not a curated record. NCBI's taxonomy places the organism in Eukaryota, Viridiplantae, Streptophyta, Magnoliopsida, Rosales, Rosaceae. The transcript is spliced from 5 exons.
AAGUUAGAAGUGUGUCUAACUCUCUCUCUCCUCCAACGGUUAUUUCAUUGUGUGUGUGAUUGAGCUAAUAUGAGCUGACAGAUAGUGCAAAAAUACAACAGCAGAAUACAGAGGAAUUCAUCAAAUCGUUUCUCUGACUUAUUUCCUUUCCUCUUCUCUGAUAUACUUUAUGAUAUUCUCUUCCAUACCUGCUAGGAUUCAAUUUCUCUAACAAAAAUUACCCCAAACCCUAGAAAUUACCCCAUCAUCUAGCCACUGCCACUACCUCGAAAUUUCACCGAAUUUCCAUCUCCCCAUCUUUCUCCUCUUGCUUCUCAUCUUCAAAAAGCCCCAAAUCGAGACCAGGUAUCUUUUGGGUGAUCUGCUCCAAGCAUAAGCUCCCUUCCAAGCCAGUGAACGCAACGCCCUUGAAUCAUAUAUUGUGUGAGUGAGAAUGCCAAUGUGAAGUUGGUUGGAUACAGAAACUUCUAUCUGUAAGCAUUGAGUCGAUUUGGGGUUUUCAAAGUGGUUGAACAGCAGACAGGGGAAACCAGGUUUGUUUGUUUGUUUCAAGUUGAACAGCAGAUUGGGGCUUCUGGGUUUUGAUAUUUGGUAUCAAAGCUUCCAAACUAGAACGGGUUCCAAUUACAAAUGGCCUUCCUAGAAUCCCUCUGUACAUGUUAAGAGACAACGUUAUCGUUUCUAGAGGUUUGAAGGAUAAAGAUGGAAAAGCAGGCGACAGUAGCAAUUUUGGAAUUGAAAUAUUAUGUGCAAUCCUAGGAGCAGAAUUUCCUGUGCAGAUCAGUCAACUUGACAGAAUAUACUGUACUUCCUCAGACUGAACCAGAUGUUGAGCAUUAUAUCGUUGGAAAGAUACGGAUGUUAGCUUUCUGUAUAAUUUUACAAUUCGUGAUUCGGACGUGUGUGGAGAGAGUUGUGGCUAUGUUAGUACAAACAGUUCAGGCAGAAUGUGUUCUGCGGGUUUAGCAAAAUAUUCCAUUUGAAGUCCAAUCCUUGGAGUCCAAUUUAUGUCAAUUGCAUUUGGAAAGUGUUUACAAGGAUGUGGAGUUAUUUUCUGAAGUCUGAUCCUUUAUCUAGUAGGAUUUUGGAUGCCAACUCAUUGAAAGACAAUUAAAGCCAAACUAGGAAAGUAUAGUUACCAAGUCAAAAGAGGAUUUGUUCCUUAUUUAAAGAAGACCAGAAAAUAGGGUUCUCUUAUGCUGGAAUUUAAAGAAGAGUCAAAGAGCCGCUGCCAUUGUCAAGUUCUCAAGUAUCGUCACAAUCCAUAAGUUUUAUUUUAUGUUUUCUAGUUUUUCAAUUAUGUUUUCUUUGAACAUGAGUAACUAAAUUAUUCUCUAGGGCGAGGAUGACGCCCGAGCAUGGAUAGUUAUGAUUUUUAAUGCUAUUUAAUGGAUUUUAAGUUUCUUUUA